Molecule: ribosomal RNA, 980 nt
Filed under: Janthinobacterium sp.
Lineage: Bacteria; Pseudomonadati; Pseudomonadota; Betaproteobacteria; Burkholderiales; Oxalobacteraceae
Description: bacterial SSU rRNA
Rfam family: Bacterial small subunit ribosomal RNA
Source: RNAcentral
CAUGCAAGUCGAACGGCAGCACGGAGCUUGCUCUGUGUGGCGAGUGGCGAACGGGUGAGUAAUAUAUCGGAACGUACCCUAGAGUGGGGGAUAACGUAGCGAAAGUUACGCUAAUACCGCAUACGAUCUAAGGAUGAAAGUGGGGGAUCGCAAGACCUCAUGCUCGUGGAGCGGCCGAUAUCUGAUUAGCUAGUUGGUAGGGUAAAAGCCUACCAAGGCAUCGAUCAGUAGCUGGUCUGAGAGGACGACCAGCCACACUGGAACUGAGACACGGUCCAGACUCCUACGGGAGGCAGCAGUGGGGAAUUUUGGACAAUGGGCGAAAGCCUGAUCCAGCAAUGCCGCGUGAGUGAAGAAGGCCUUCGGGUUGUAAAGCUCUUUUGUCAGGGAAGAAACGGUGAGAGCUAAUAUCUCUUGCUAAUGACGGUACCUGAAGAAUAAGCACCGGCUAACUACGUGCCAGCAGCCGCGGUAAUACGUAGGGUGCAAGCGUUAAUCGGAAUUACUGGGCGUAAAGCGUGCGCAGGCGGUUUUGUAAGUCUGAUGUGAAAUCCCCGGGCUCAACCUGGGAAUUGCAUUGGAGACUGCAAGGCUAGAAUCUGGCAGAGGGGGGUAGAAUUCCACGUGUAGCAGUGAAAUGCGUAGAUAUGUGGAGGAACACCGAUGGCGAAGGCAGCCCCCUGGGUCAAGAUUGACGCUCAUGCACGAAAGCGUGGGGAGCAAACAGGAUUAGAUACCCUGGUAGUCCACGCCCUAAACGAUGUCUACUAGUUGUCGGGUCUUAAUUGACUUGGUAACGCAGCUAACGCGUGAAGUAGACCGCCUGGGGAGUACGGUCGCAAGAUUAAAACUCAAAGGAAUUGACGGGGACCCGCACAAGCGGUGGAUGAUGUGGAUUAAUUCGAUGCAACGCGAAAAACCUUACCUACCCUUGACAUGGCCUGGAAUCCUCGAGAGAUUGGGGAAGUGCUCGAAAGGAG